AGAGUUUGAUCCUGGCUCAGAGCGAGCGCUGGCGGCAGGCCUAAUACAUGCAAGUCGAACGGCUCUUCGGAGCAGUGGCGGACGGGUGAGUAACGCGUGGGAACGUGCCCUUUGGUACGGAACAACUGAGGGAAACUUCAGCUAAUACCGUAUGUGCCCUUCGGGGGAAAGAUUUAUCGCCAUUGGAGCGGCCCGCGUUGGAUUAGGUAGUUGGUGAGGUAAAGGCUCACCAAGCCUACGAUCCAUAGCUGGUCUGAGAGGAUGAUCAGCCACACUGGGACUGAGACACGGCCCAGACUCCUACGGGAGGCAGCAGUAGGGAAUCUUGCGCAAUGGGCGAAAGCCUGACGCAGCCAUGCCGCGUGUAUGAUGAAGGUCUUAGGAUUGUAAAAUACUUUCACCGGGGAAGAUAAUGACGGUACCCGGAGAAGAAGCCCCGGCUAACUUCGUGCCAGCAGCCGCGGUAAUACGAAGGGGGCUAGCGUUGCUCGGAAUUACUGGGCGUAAAGGGCGCGUAAGCGGAUACUUAAGUCCGGGGUGAAAGCCAGGGGGUCAAACCCUGGAACAGCUUUCGUACUGGGGGAA
RNAcentral lists this ribosomal RNA (585 nucleotides) under uncultured soil bacterium. Its description in RNAcentral is "bacterial SSU rRNA". It matches the Rfam family "Bacterial small subunit ribosomal RNA", at positions 8 to 641 of the family's 1533-position model. The record is from RNAcentral.